RNAcentral lists this ribosomal RNA (492 nucleotides) under uncultured bacterium. RNAcentral describes it as "partial 16S ribosomal RNA". It matches the Rfam family "Bacterial small subunit ribosomal RNA", at positions 29 to 507 of the family's 1533-position model. The record is from RNAcentral.
AGUGAACGCUGGCGGUAGGCCUAGCACAUGCAAGUCGAACGGCAGCACCGUACGAGCUUGCUCUUCCGGGUGGCGAGUGGCGGACGGGUGAGGUAUACAUCGGAAUCUACUUUUUCGUGGGGGAUAACGUAGGGAAACUUACGCUCAUAUCGCAUACGACCUACGGGUGAAAGCAGGGGAUCUUCGGACCUUGCGCGAUUGAAUGAGCCGCUGUCGGAUUAGCUAGUUGGCGGGGUAAAGGCCCACCAAGGCGACGAUCCGUAGCUGGUCUGUGAGGAUGAUCAGCCACACUGGAGCGGGGACACGGACCAUGCUCCUACGGGAGGCAGCAGUGGGGAAUAGUGGGCAAUGGGCGCAAGCCUGAUCCAGCCAUACCGCGUGGGUGGAGAAGGCCUUCGGGUUGUAAAGCCCUUUUGUUGGGAAAGAAAAGCAGCAGGUUAAUACCCCGCUGUUCUGACGGUACCCAAAAAAUAAGCACCGGCUAACUUCGUG